AACGAACGCUGGCGGCAGGCCUAACACAUGCAAGUCGAGCGAGACCUUCGGGUCUAGCGGCGGACGGGUGAGUAACGCGUGGGAAUAUGCCCUUUGGUACGGAAUAGCCGCGGGAAACUGAGAGUAAUACCGUAUGUGCCCUUCGGGGGCAAGAUUUAUCGCCAAAGGAUUAGCCCGCGUUGGAUUAGGUAGUUGGUGGGGUAAUGGCCUACCAAGCCUACGAUCCAUAGCUGGUUUGAGAGGAUGAUCAGCCACACUGGGACUGAGACACGGCCCAGACUCCUACGGGAGGCAGCAGUGGGGAAUCUUAGACAAUGGGGGCAACCCUGAUCUAGCCAUGCCGCGUGAGUGAUGAAGGCCUUAGGGUUGUAAAGCUCUUUCAGCUGGGAAGAUAAUGACGGUACCAGCAGAAGAAGCCCCGGCUAACUCCGUGCCAGCAGCCGCGGUAA
RNAcentral lists this ribosomal RNA (449 nucleotides) under uncultured bacterium. RNAcentral describes it as "partial 16S ribosomal RNA". It matches the Rfam family "Bacterial small subunit ribosomal RNA", at positions 29 to 523 of the family's 1533-position model. The record is from RNAcentral.